CCCCUAGAUGUUCUGGGCCGCACGCGCGCUACACUGAACAGUUCAACAAGUCUUAACCUUGGCCGAUAGGUCUGGGUAAUCUUUGAACGCUGUUCGUGAUUGGGAUAGACCUUUGCAAUUAUGGGUCUUCAACGAGGAAUUCCUAGUAAACGCAAGUCAUCAGCUUGCAUUGAUUACGUCCCUGCCCUUUGUACACACCGCCCGUCGCACCUACCGAUUGAAUGGUCCGGUGAAAUCUCGGGACGGCGGCUUGGUCGCUUGCGUCCGACUGCUGAAACUUGAGUAAACCAUAUCAUUUAGAGGAAGGUGAAGUCGUAACA
This 320-nucleotide ribosomal RNA is filed under the name uncultured eukaryote. RNAcentral's name for it is "partial 18S ribosomal RNA". It matches the Rfam family "Eukaryotic small subunit ribosomal RNA", at positions 1470 to 1796 of the family's 1831-position model. The record is from RNAcentral.